AAGUCGAACGAACGGAUUGAGGAGCUUGCUCUUCAAGAAGUUAGUGGCGGACGGGUGAGUAACACGUGGGUAACCUGCCCUUCAGCGGGGGAUAACAUCCGGAAACGGGUGCUAAUACCGCAUAGUUUCUUUUUCCGCCUGGAAGAAGAAGGAAAGAUGGCCUUUGUGCUAUCACUGAGGGAUGGACCCGCGGCGUAUUAGUUAGUUGGUGGGGUAAUGGCCUACCAAGACGAUGAUACGUAGCCGACCUGAGAGGGUGAUCGGCCACAUUGGGACUGAGACACGGCCCAAACUCCUACGGGAGGCAGCAGUAGGGAAUCUUCCGCAAUGGACGAAAGUCUGACGGAGCAACGCCGCGUGAGUGAAGAAGGUUUUCGGAUCGUAAAACUCUGUUGUCGGAGAAGAACAAGUAGGAGAGUAACUGUUCCUACCUUGACGGUACCCGACCAGAAAGCCACGGCUAACUACGUGCCAGC
RNAcentral lists this ribosomal RNA (476 nucleotides) under uncultured bacterium. Its description in RNAcentral is "bacterial SSU rRNA". It matches the Rfam family "Bacterial small subunit ribosomal RNA", at positions 59 to 512 of the family's 1533-position model. The record is from RNAcentral.